GUCCGUGGAAGAAGUGAUUGAAUAGGUU
This 28-nucleotide non-coding RNA is filed under the name Cricetulus griseus (Chinese hamster). The record is from RNAcentral. Lineage: Eukaryota; Metazoa; Chordata; Mammalia; Rodentia; Cricetidae.